CUGGAGAAUUGAGGGGGGCUGCUCCUAGUACGAGAGGACCGGAGUGGACGCAUCACUGGUGUUCGGGUUGUCAUGCCAAUGGCACUGCCCGGUAGCUAAAUGCGGAAGAGAUAAGUGCUGAAAGCAUCUAAGCACGAAACUUGCCCCGAGAUGAGUUCUCCCUGACUCCUUGAGAGUCCUGAAGGAACGUUGAAGACGACGACGUUGAUAGGCCGGGUGUGUAAGCGCAGCGAUGCGUUGAGCUAACCGGUACUAAUGAACCGUGAGGCUUAACCUUACAACGCCGAAGCUGUU
RNAcentral lists this ribosomal RNA (294 nucleotides) under Escherichia coli. RNAcentral's name for it is "partial 23S ribosomal RNA". It matches the Rfam family "Bacterial large subunit ribosomal RNA", at positions 2652 to 2925 of the family's 2925-position model. The record is from RNAcentral. Lineage: Bacteria; Pseudomonadati; Pseudomonadota; Gammaproteobacteria; Enterobacterales; Enterobacteriaceae.